GCCUGGGUGGCUCAGUUGGUUGGGCGUCAGACUUCAGCUCAGGUCAUGAUCUUACAGUUCGUGGGUUCGAGUCCUGCAUCAGGCU
Molecule: transfer RNA, 85 nt
Filed under: Felis catus (domestic cat)
Lineage: Eukaryota; Metazoa; Chordata; Mammalia; Carnivora; Felidae
Rfam family: tRNA
About the family: Transfer RNA (tRNA) molecules are approximately 80 nucleotides in length. Their secondary structure includes four short double-helical elements and three loops (D, anti-codon, and T loops). Further hydrogen bonds mediate the characteristic L-shaped molecular structure. tRNAs have two regions of fundamental functional importance: the anti-codon, which is responsible for specific mRNA codon recognition, and the 3' end, to which the tRNAs corresponding amino acid is attached (by aminoacyl-tRNA synthetases). tRNAs cope with the degeneracy of the genetic code in two manners: having more than one tRNA (with a specific anti-codon) for a particular amino acid; and 'wobble' base-pairing, i.e. permitting non-standard base-pairing at the 3rd anti-codon position.
Source: Rfam by way of RNAcentral